UGUUUUUAAAAGUGGGGGGGGGGAUGCACUUUGCUAUAGAAAAAUAAAAUAGGCGUCGGGUUUGUUAUCUGAAAUAUACUUACAGAUGUCUACUUUCACUUUCCUGGAGUAAAAUUUCGAAAAAGCAACUUCAGCAAAAUUUAGGAUGGGUGGAUCAGACGACACAGAUUGGAAAUUUCAGACAUGUUUUCAAUCAUUUUGUGACCGCCAUGAACUGGGUCAAAAAUGGCAGUCAGCCAAAGAUUACGGACAGGAAAAUCCUGGAUCCACUCUCUUUAUCAUAGCUGUAGUGGCUAUGUGCAGUUUUCCAAUAUUUUGUUUUCUGGCAUUCGUCGUUGGAUCUCUUAUCAUUGGGUUUACAAUUUUCCUCUUUGUGGAAGGUACAGUUCUGACAAUAGCUGCAUUCUUGCUGGGAGGAGCUCUUUUCUUUGCUAGUCUGUUCUCUGUUGGUUUCAGCAUCUUUGCCGUCUUAGCCAUCUAUUCGUUCUCUACUGCUCAAAAAAUUAUCAGCAAAGUGUCUUCGAAAACCCCUAGUUCUGGUCCUGUAAUAGAAUGUGAUUCUACACAGAAAGAUAAGCUGAAGUGAAAAUGUGCGAGCAUAAUUUUGAAAUGACAAUGAACUGCUUUGUAAAUAUGGCAAAAUAACUGACAUGUGUUCAUGAUAUUCAGUGAAUUAUAAAUAUACUGAUGUCAUUUAUUAUGAUAAAAUGUCAUCACAUUUCUUUGACAGUCAUUAACUGUUACAGUUUCCAAUUAAUGGUGCAUUACAAAGUUGUGUAUAUUUUUGUAAAAUGAUUUGUUCUGGUCCUCUAUAUAUUUGAUUUUUUAUUGCUUGAGGUUUGUACCAUAUUUGAAAAUUCUGAUUAACUAUUUUAUAAUAUGUGUUUUUUUAAGUUUUUUUUUU
This is a long non-coding RNA of Magallana angulata, 904 nucleotides long. RefSeq lists it as uncharacterized. The record is from RefSeq and is a predicted model, not a curated record. The transcript is spliced from 3 exons. Lineage: Eukaryota; Metazoa; Mollusca; Bivalvia; Ostreida; Ostreidae.